This 253-nucleotide ribosomal RNA is filed under the name uncultured bacterium. RNAcentral describes it as "partial 16S ribosomal RNA". It matches the Rfam family "Bacterial small subunit ribosomal RNA", at positions 524 to 776 of the family's 1533-position model. The record is from RNAcentral.
UACGGGGGGAGCAAGCGUUGUUCGGAUUUACUGGGCGUAAAGGGCGCGUAGGCGGCGUGACAAGUCACUUGUGAAAUCUCCGGGCUUAACUCGGAACGGUCAAGUGAUACUGUCGUGCUAGAGUACAGAAGGGGCAACUGGAAUUCUCGGUGUAGCGGUGAAAUGCGUAGAUAUCGAGAGGAACACCUGCGGCGAAGGCGGGUUGCUGGGCUGAUACUGACGCUGAGGCGCGAAAGCUAGGGGAGCGAACAGG